UACGGGGGGGGCAAGCGUUGUUCGGAAUUACUGGGCGUAAAGGGCUCGUAGGCGGCCAACUAAGUCAGACGUGAAAUCCCUCGGCUUAACCGGGGAACUGCGUCUGAUACUGGAUGGCUUGAGUUUGGGAGAAGAAUGCGGAAUUCCAGGUGUAGCGAUGAAAUUCGUAGAUAUCGGGAGGAACACCGGUGGCGAAGGCGGCGACCUGGGUAGAUACUGACGCUGAGGCGCGAAAGCUAGGGGAGCAAACGGG
This 253-nucleotide ribosomal RNA is filed under the name uncultured bacterium. RNAcentral describes it as "partial 16S ribosomal RNA". It matches the Rfam family "Bacterial small subunit ribosomal RNA", at positions 524 to 776 of the family's 1533-position model. The record is from RNAcentral.